This 279-nucleotide ribosomal RNA is filed under the name uncultured bacterium. RNAcentral's name for it is "partial 16S ribosomal RNA". It matches the Rfam family "Bacterial small subunit ribosomal RNA", at positions 506 to 784 of the family's 1533-position model. The record is from RNAcentral.
UGCCAGCACCCGCGGUAAUACCAAGGGACCUAGCCUACUUCGGAAUUACUGGGCUUAAAGAGUUCGUAGGUGGUUGAAAAAGCUGGUGGUGAAAUCCCAGCGCUUAACUCUGGAACUGCCAUCAAAACUUUUCAGCUAGAGUAUGAUAGAGGAAAGCAGAAUUUCUAGUGUAGAGGUGUAAUUCGUAGAUAUUAGAAAGAAUACCAAUUGCGAAGGCAGCUUUCUGGAUCAUUACUGACGCUGAGGAACGAAAGCAUGGGUAGCGAAGAGGAUUAGAUA